GUGCCAGCAGCCGCGGUAACACGGAGGGGGCAAGCGUUGUUCGGAAUUACUGGGCGUAAAGGGCGUGUAGACUGCUUAGCAGGUCAGAUGUGAAAUCCCAGGGCUCAACUCUGGAAUUGCGUUGGAAACCGUUAAGCUUGAGGCUAGAAGAGGAAAGCGGAAUUCCUGGUGUAGCGGUGAAAUGCGUAGAUAUCAGGAGGAACACCGGUGGCGAAAGCGGCUUUCUAGGCUAGUACUGACGCUGAUGCGCGAAAGCGUGGGGAGCGAACGGGAUUAGAUACCCCGGUAGUCCACGCCGUAAACGUUGAGCACUAGGUGUAGCGGGUAUCGACCCCUGCUGUGCCGCAGCAAACGCAUUAAGUGCUCCGCCUGGGGAUUACGCACGCAAGUGUAAAACUCAAAGGAAUUGACGGGGCCCCGCACAAGCGGUGGAGUAUGUGGUUUAAUUCGAUGCAACGCGAAGAACCUUACCAGGGCUUGACAUGUUGGUUUUAGGGAUCCGAAAGGUGACCGACCCUUCGGGGAGCCAUCACAGGUGCUGCACGGCUGUCGUCAGCUCGUGUCGUGAGAUGUUGGAUUAAGUCCCGCAACGAGCGCAACCCCU
This 604-nucleotide ribosomal RNA is filed under the name uncultured organism. RNAcentral describes it as "bacterial SSU rRNA". It matches the Rfam family "Bacterial small subunit ribosomal RNA", at positions 505 to 1106 of the family's 1533-position model. The record is from RNAcentral.